Molecule: ribosomal RNA, 433 nt
Filed under: uncultured bacterium
Lineage: Bacteria
Description: partial 16S ribosomal RNA
Rfam family: Bacterial small subunit ribosomal RNA
Source: RNAcentral
AACGAACGCUGGCGGCAUGCCUAACACAUGCAAGUCGAACGAGACCUUCGGGUCUAGUGGCGCACGGGUGCGUAACGCGUGGGAACCUGCCCUUAGGUUCGGAAUAACUCCCCGAAAGGGGUGCUAAUACCGGAUAAUGUCUUCGGACCAAAGAUUUAUCGCCUUUGGAUGGGCCCGCGUUGGAUUCGCUAGUUGGUAGGGUAAAAGCCUAGCAAGGCGACGAUCCAUAGCUGGUCUGAGAGGAUGAUCAGCCACACUGGGGCUGAGACACGGCCCAGACUCGUACGGGAGGCAGCAGUGGGGAAUAUUGGACAAGGGGCGAAAGCCUGAUCCAGCAAUGCCGCGGGAGUGAUGAAGGCCUUAGGGUUGUAAAGCUCUUUUACCCGGGAUGAUAAUGACAGUACCGGGAGAAUAAGCUCCGGCUAACUCCGUG